Long non-coding RNA from Brachypodium distachyon (stiff brome), 536 nucleotides. RefSeq lists it as uncharacterized. The record is from RefSeq and is a predicted model, not a curated record. The transcript is spliced from 2 exons. NCBI's taxonomy places the organism in Eukaryota, Viridiplantae, Streptophyta, Magnoliopsida, Poales, Poaceae.
ACCAUCGAUCGAUCGUUCGUGAGAAAGAACAAGGGAAAAGAAGAAACAAAUGGGCAACCCCAACUCCAAGUCGACCGCCCUGCUCAUCGUCUUCUUCCUCCUAGCCAUCGUGGCGCGGCAGCCAUCGUCGACGGAAGCGUCAAGGGAAAUCAAGCCCGCCUACACCGCCACCGUUGACGACCUCUUCUUGUUGUUGACGGCGAGGGGAAUGGUCAACCCGGCCGCCGGAGAUCUCGAGGAGAUUAUAAUUAACUAGUGAUGGAUUUUGACAGUGCCGCAGCCAUCUCCGGCGCCCGCUGCGGCUAGUCCUGCGCCGUCGCCGCCUUCAGGGGUGUCACCGUAGGAGCAAAAUGAUGGAUCCAUGGACGGUUUCGUACGCACGCCGAAAGUCCGACAUUCGUGUGGUCAAUAUAUGGCCCAAUCAUCGUUUAUGACUUUACGAGUUUAGGAGGUCAUAACUCAUACGUACUACUAUAUGUAUCUAAGUUUCUAGCAUAAACCUCGAAGAUGGAAUUAUAGUGCGUGGUAUUCUAUAU